Molecule: ribosomal RNA, 282 nt
Filed under: uncultured Hyphomicrobiales bacterium
Lineage: Bacteria; Pseudomonadati; Pseudomonadota; Alphaproteobacteria; Hyphomicrobiales
Description: uncultured Rhizobiales bacterium partial 16S ribosomal RNA
Rfam family: Bacterial small subunit ribosomal RNA
Source: RNAcentral
AGGCCUACCAUGCNAGUCGAGCGCCCCGCUCGGGGAGCGGCAGACGGGAUAGUAACACGUGGGAACGUACCUUUCAGUUCGGAACAACCAAGGGAAACUUUGGCUAAUACCGGAUACGCCCGUAAGGGGAAAGAUUUAUCGCUGAAAGAUCGGCCCGCGUCUGAUUAGCUAGUUGGUGGGGUAAUGGCCCACCAAGGCGACGAUCAGUAGCUGGUCUGAGAGGAUGAUCAGCAUCACUGGGACUGAGACACGGCCCAGACUCCUACGGGAGGCAGCAGUGGG